GCCUGUUCCGCUGAGUUACUCCAGCAUUUUGUGUCUAUCUUCGGUCAUUUUGUGUCUAUCUUCAUGUAUUAUUUCCUUUUUCCUAUUCUAAUCUGCAACUAUUAAAUGAGUUGAUUUAGCCAGACUGUCGUGGGUCAGGUGUUGAAAGUAUUAUUGCACUGGUUGAUGUUUCUCACUGAAGACGCAUCAUGGGUGAUACAAGGGAAUGGUGAAGUACUAUUUCAAUCGAAAUCAAGAAG
Molecule: long non-coding RNA, 239 nt
Organism: Amblyraja radiata (thorny skate)
Lineage: Eukaryota; Metazoa; Chordata; Chondrichthyes; Rajiformes; Rajidae
Exons: 2
Source: RefSeq, a predicted model, not a curated record